This 465-nucleotide ribosomal RNA is filed under the name uncultured bacterium. Its description in RNAcentral is "partial 16S ribosomal RNA". It matches the Rfam family "Bacterial small subunit ribosomal RNA", at positions 28 to 507 of the family's 1533-position model. The record is from RNAcentral.
GACGAACGCUGGCGGCGUGCUUAACACAUGCAAGUCGAACGGAAAGGCCCCUUUGGGGGUACUCGAGUGGCGAACGGGUGAGUAACACGUGAGUAACCUGCCCUUGACUUCGGGAUAACUUCAGGAAACUGGGGCUAAUACCGGAUAGGAAUCCUUGCUGCAUGGUGGGGGUUGGAAAGCUUCGGCGGUUUUGGAUGGACUCGCGGCUUAUCAGCUUGUUGGUGGGGUAGUGGCUUACCAAGGCUUUGACGGGUAGCCGGCCUGAGAGGGCGACCGGCCACAUUGGGACUGAGAUACGGCCCAGACUCCUACGGGAGGCAGCAGUGGGGAAUAUUGCACAAUGGGCGGAAGCCUGAUGCAGCAACGCCACGUGCGGGAUGACGGCCUUCGGGUUGUAAACCGCUUUCAGCAGGGGCGAAGCUUGUGGUGACGGUACCUGCAGAAGAAGCACCGGCUAACUACGUG